This 990-nucleotide ribosomal RNA is filed under the name human gut metagenome. RNAcentral's name for it is "bacterial LSU rRNA". It matches the Rfam family "Bacterial large subunit ribosomal RNA", at positions 1934 to 2925 of the family's 2925-position model. The record is from RNAcentral.
CCGUAACUAUAACGGUCCUAAGGUAGCGAAAUUCCUUGUCGGGUAAGUUCCGACCCGCACGAAAGGCGUAAUGAUUUGAGCACUGUCUCGACAAUGCACCCGGUGAAAUUGAAAUACCAGUGAAGAUGCUGGUUACCUGCGCCAGGACGGAAAGACCCCAUGGAGCUUUACUCCAGUUUGAUACUGGGAUUCGGUAUUGCAUGUACAGGAUAGGUGGGAGGCUGUGAAGCGAUGACGCCAGUUGUCGCAGAGCCGCUGUUGGGAUACCACCCCUGUAGUACUGGGUUUCUAACCAGUUGCCAUGAACUGGCAAUGGGACAAUGUCAGGCGGGGAGUUUGACUGGGGCGGUCGCCUCCGAAAGGGUAUCGGAGGCGCUCAAAGGUUCCCUCAGAAUGGUUGGAAACCAUUCGAAGAGUGCAAAGGCAGAAGGGAGCUUGACUGCGACACCGACGGGUGGAGCAGGUACGAAAGUAGGACUUAGUGAUCCGGUGGUAUAAAGUGGGAUUGCCAUCGCUCAACGGAUAAAAGCUACCCUGGGGAUAACAGGCUUAUCACUCCCAAGAGUUCACAUCGACGGAGUGGUUUGGCACCUCGAUGUCGGCUCAUCGCAUCCUGGGGCUGUAGUAGGUCCCAAGGGUUGGGCUGUUCGCCCAUUAAAGCGGUACGCGAGCUGGGUUCAGAACGUCGUGAGACAGUUCGGUCCCUAUCCGGCGUGGGCGUAGGAUAUUUGAGAGGAGCUGUCCUUAGUACGAGAGGACCGGGAUGGACUGACCUCUGGUGUACCGGUUGCACUGCCAAGUGCAUGGCCGGGUAGCCAAGUCGGGAAGGGAUAAACGCUGAAGGCAUCUAAGCGUGAAGCCCCCCUCAAGAUGAGAUAUCCCAUUCGAAAGAAGUAAGACCCCUUGAAGACGACGAGGUAGAUAGGGCAGAGGUGGAAGUGCAGUAAUGCAUGAAGCUGACUGUUACUAAUCGGUCGAGGGCUUAACCAA